GCUGGGUGUAGUGGUGCAUGCCUGUAAUCCCAGUGGCUGGGAGGCUGAGGCAGGAGGAUCAUAAGUUCAAAGCCAGCAUCAGCAAAAGUAAGGCACUAAGCAACUGAGUGAGACCCUGGCUGUA
Molecule: small RNA, 124 nt
Filed under: Marmota monax (woodchuck)
Lineage: Eukaryota; Metazoa; Chordata; Mammalia; Rodentia; Sciuridae
Source: RNAcentral